GACGAACGCUGGCGGCGUGCCUAACACAUGCAAGUCGAACGGAAAGGCCCUGCUUUUGUGGGGUGCUCGAGUGGCGAACGGGGGAGUAACACGUGAGUAACCUGCCCUUGACUUUGGGAUAACUUCAGGAAACUGGGGCUAAUACCGGAUAGGAGCUCCUGCUGCAUGGAGGGGGUUGGAAAGUCUCGGCGGUUGGGGAUGGACUCGCGGCUUACCAGCUUGUUGGUGGGGGAGUCGCUGACCGAGGCUUGGACGGGUAGCCCGCCUGAGAGGGUGACCGGCCACAUUGGGACUGAGAUACGGCGCAGACUCGUACGUGGGGCAGCAGUGGGGAAUAUUGCACAGUGGGCGGAAGCCUGUUGCAGCAACGCCGCGUUCGGGAUGACCUCCUUCGGGUUGUAAACCGCUUUCGCCUGUGACGAAGCGUGAGUGACGGUAAUGGGUGAAGAAGCACCGGCUAACUACGUG
This 468-nucleotide ribosomal RNA is filed under the name uncultured bacterium. RNAcentral's name for it is "partial 16S ribosomal RNA". It matches the Rfam family "Bacterial small subunit ribosomal RNA", at positions 28 to 507 of the family's 1533-position model. The record is from RNAcentral.